This 468-nucleotide ribosomal RNA is filed under the name uncultured bacterium. RNAcentral describes it as "partial 16S ribosomal RNA". It matches the Rfam family "Bacterial small subunit ribosomal RNA", at positions 328 to 794 of the family's 1533-position model. The record is from RNAcentral.
UGGCCAGACUCCUACGGGAGGCAGCAGUGAGGAAUAUUGGUCAAUGGCCGGAAGGCUGAACCAGCCAAGCCGCGUGAGGGAGGAAGGCGCAGAGCGUCGCAGACCUCUUUUGCCGGGGGACAAAAGGCCGGACUCGUCCGGUCCUGAGGGUACCCGGAGAAAAAGCAUCGGCUAACUCCGUGCCAGCAGCCGCGGUAAUACGGAGGAUGCGAGCGUUAUCCGGAUUUAUUGGGUUUAAAGGGUGCGUAGGCGGUAUUUUAAGUUAGGGGUAAAACGUCGGGGCUUCACCUUGAUUGGCCACUAAAACUGGAGUACUAGAGUACAGACGAGGUAGGCGGAAUAAGUUAAGUAGCGGUGAAAUGCUUAGAUAUAACUUAGAACCCCGAUAGCGAAGGCAGCUUACCAGACUGUUACUGACGCUGAAGCACGAGAGCGUGGGUAGCGAACAGGAUUAGAUACCCGCGUAGA